RNAcentral lists this ribosomal RNA (395 nucleotides) under uncultured bacterium. RNAcentral's name for it is "partial 16S ribosomal RNA". It matches the Rfam family "Bacterial small subunit ribosomal RNA", at positions 523 to 918 of the family's 1533-position model. The record is from RNAcentral.
AUACGAAGGGUGCAAGCGUUAAUCGGAAUUACUGGGCGUAAAGCGCGCGUAGGUGGUUUUGUAAGACAGUGGUGAAAUCCCCGGGCUCAACCUGGGAACUGCCAUUGUGACUGCAAGGCUGGAGUGCGGCAGAGGGGGAUGGAAUUCCGCGUGUAGCAGUGAAAUGCGUAGAUAUGCGGAGGAACACCGAUGGCGAAGGCAAUCCCCUGGGCCUGCACUGACGCUCAUGCACGAAAGCGUGGGGAGCAAACAGGAUUAGAUACCCUGGUAGUCCACGCCCUAAACGAUGUCAACUGGUUGUUGGGGAUUUAUUUUCUCAGUAACGAAGCUAACGCGUGAAGUUGACCGCCUGGGGAGUACGGCCGCAAGGUUAAAACUCAAAGGAAUUGACGGGG